UUCCAGGGUUCAAAUCCUACCUCUGGCACUUAACUGCCGUCUGCCUUACAAAAGAAUUGAGGCCAAGAGGCCUAAAGCCUGUGAGCCCUGGCUUCAAAGCCAAGACCUGGGCUAAGAUUCAUCCAGCCCCACUCAAUUCCCCCACAGGUUCGAGAGGAGUACCGGCGCUGGGCCUGCAUAGUCACUAAGAGCAAGUACAAUGAGUUUUCCACCUCUACAACCAGCCAGAGCCGGGCCCUCAGACCGUCGCUGGAGUCUGGGAUGUGAACACCACCAACGGGCCCCGUGGGGACACUGCAGCUUUUGCACAUGCCAGAGAAUGAUUCCGCCGCCUAUUCUGUAACUCCUCUCGCCCACUACUCCUAAAGAAUCUAUCUUCCCUCCAAGGCAGGCCUCAUCGAGGAACAUAAAGCUUCAGGGAUGCAGAGCCAGUCGUCAAGGGAAUAUAGCUCGUGCUAUUCUGAGGGAGGGCAGAGAAAUUGCCCUGGCUUAAAAAUAUGCAACUCAUAAUUCCAUCCCCUACUGGAACCAGCUCCCUGGGGAAGGUGCUCUCUGGGCUCAGCCUGGGCUUACGCUCCCUCCCCCAGCUUUGGCACCAAGGGCCAGGACCACAGAAGACGAGAUGGAACUGAGCCCCAAUUUCCUUUUUCUCACAUUAUUAGGGAAGGAGUGUGACCGACAGUGACUGAGGCAAACGGUACGAAGGGGCUUGUCCCCAUCCUUAUCUACUGAUGGGGGGGCACAGGCAGCUCUGUCAAGUGGACUUUUUUAUUUGUUUAUAUUUCUCUUUUUUUAAGCUUUCUAAAGUCGACAUUUCAGAUUAAACAGAUUGAGUUAAUACAUGA
Long non-coding RNA from Vombatus ursinus (common wombat), 845 nucleotides. RefSeq lists it as uncharacterized. The record is from RefSeq and is a predicted model, not a curated record. NCBI's taxonomy places the organism in Eukaryota, Metazoa, Chordata, Mammalia, Diprotodontia, Vombatidae. The transcript has 2 exons.